CCUACGGGUGGCUGCAGUGAGGAAUAUUGGUCAAUGGUCGAGAGUCUGAACCAGCCAAGUCGCGUGAGGGAUGACUGUCCUAUGGAUUGUAAACCUCUUUUAUCAGGGAAUAAAACCAGGCACGCGUGCCUUUUUGCAUGUACCUGAUGAAAAAGCAUCGGCUAACUCCGUGCCAGCAGCCGCGGUAAUACGGAGGAUCCGAGCGUUAUCCGGAUUUAUUGGGUUUAAAGGGGGCGCAGGCGGUAGGUAAAGUCAGCGGUAAAAUUUCCGGGCUCAACCGCAAAGUGCCGUUGAUACUGGCAGUCUUGAGUGCGGGAGAAGUAGGCGGAAUGCGGGGUGUAGCGGUGAAAUGCAUAGAUAUCACGAAGAACUCCGAUUGCGAAGGCAGCAUAC
This 393-nucleotide ribosomal RNA is filed under the name uncultured bacterium. RNAcentral describes it as "partial 16S ribosomal RNA". It matches the Rfam family "Bacterial small subunit ribosomal RNA", at positions 338 to 729 of the family's 1533-position model. The record is from RNAcentral.